This 72-nucleotide transfer RNA is filed under the name Mesocricetus auratus (golden hamster). It matches the Rfam family "tRNA". Rfam says of the family: Transfer RNA (tRNA) molecules are approximately 80 nucleotides in length. Their secondary structure includes four short double-helical elements and three loops (D, anti-codon, and T loops). The record is from Rfam by way of RNAcentral. Lineage: Eukaryota; Metazoa; Chordata; Mammalia; Rodentia; Cricetidae.
GGGGCUGUAGCUCAGUUGGUAGAGUGCUCGCCUAACGUGCUUGAGGCCCUGGGUUUGAUCCCAGCACCCCUA